AGCAUGAACUUAGCUUGCUAAGUUUGAUGGCGACCGGCGCACGGGUGAGUAACACGUAUCCAACCUGCCGAUGACUCGGGGAUAGCCUUUCGAAAGAAAGAUUAAUACCCGAUGGCAUAGUUCUUCCGCAUGGUAGGACUAUUAAAGAAUUUCGGUCAUCGAUGGGGAUGCGUUCCAUUAGCUUGUUGGCGGGGUAACGGCCCACCAAGGCAUCGAUGGAUAGGGGUUCUGAGAGGAAGGUCCCCCACAUUGGAACUGAGACACGGUCCAAACUCCUACGGGAGGCAGCAGUGAGGAAUAUUGGUCAAUGGGCGCUAGCCUGAACCAGCCAAGUAGCGUGAAGGAUGACUGCCCUAUGGGUUGUAAACUUCUUUUAUAUGGGAAUAAAGUGCAGUAUGUAUACUGCUUUGCAUGUACCUUAUGAAUAAGGAUCGGCUAACUCCGUGCCAGCAGCCGCGGUAAUACGGAGGAUCCGAGCGUUAUCCGGAUUUAUUGGGUUUAAAGGGAGCGUAGGCGGGUUGUUAAGUCAGUUGUGAAAGUUUGCGGCUCAACCGUAAAAUUGCAGUUGAUACUGGCAUCCUUGAGUACAGUAGAGGUAGGCGGAAUUCGUGGUGUAGCGGUGAAAUGCUUAGAUAUCACGAAGAACUCCGAUUGCGAAGGCAGCCUGCUGGACUGUAACUGACGCUGAUGCUCGAAAGUGUGGGUAUCAAACAGGAUUAGAUACCCUGGUAGUCCACACAGUAAACGAUGAAUACUCGCUGUUUGCGAUAUAC
RNAcentral lists this ribosomal RNA (773 nucleotides) under uncultured bacterium. Its description in RNAcentral is "bacterial SSU rRNA". It matches the Rfam family "Bacterial small subunit ribosomal RNA", at positions 68 to 834 of the family's 1533-position model. The record is from RNAcentral.